GAUGUUUUUACACGACCAGUUUCUUUAAUUUUAUUCUCUUUUGUUAUUUCUUUAGUGGUUUUCCACGCAUGUCUCCCCUCCAUCUACUUUUGUUGGCUACGCGGUUGGAGGUGGUAAUGCACCUUCUGCUGUCGUCUCCUUUUCCACUACGUGCGAUGGAAUAUGGUGAGAUUUUUAUCUUCUCUUUGUCUUCGAUCCUUCUUAACUUUGAUUGUUUUGUUUUUUGUAGUUAUUGUUGAUACUCAUUUCGCUCGCGUUCUCACUCAUUCCUUUUUUCUGUUGACGUGCUCGUUGAUGCUCCUCUAUCCGCUUCAAUGGCACACACGUCUGCUAUUGUUCUUCCGGUGACGUCUGCAUCUAUUGCAACUCCUCCGAUGGAAAACUUUUUCAGUCCUAUUUCUUUACUGCAUCUAUUUCUUUUUCCGUAGGAGAAAUGAUAUAUCCACUUCUAGUAUGUGUCAAGCUUCGUAUGCUGUCGCACAAGGUAUCACCAAGGGUUGAAUCUCAGGCGAGAUUAUGGCUUUAAUCCAAGAAAACAUAAUCCCAUCGUUCAUCACGUGCUUCUCAUAUUCUGGAUUCUCGGUGCCAUCUUCAAGUUUUGGGGCAGGAGUCACCAACAUACCUGAGAUAUACGAAAGAAAUUUGUGAAUCUGGAGUGCUCCCUCGAACUGGUUUUUCCAGAGGAGAUAAUUGCCCUCAGUCAACGGAUUAGGGCACAGAGAAACAAUCGUAUACAUCAUCUGUGGAGCCGUUGGAGUCGGACGGAGUACCCUCUGUUGUUGCCAUUUUCAAUUUUUGUGAUUUUCUGCCCAAAUCUGCAACAACUCGUACAUCAAAAAUAAAAUUGAUCACCAAACAGAAUCAGAUCUCACAACCUUUUGAAUCAUUUUGGAAUAAUCUCCCCAAACAGAAGAGAAAAAAAUCAGAAUCACUCUCCCCAAACAGAAAAAAGAAAUCGGACAAGCUAAUCAAUCUGGAAAGAAGAAAAGAGGAUCAAUUUGGACAGAUCGCCUCCUCAAAUCAGGUCGCACAACGCCGUUGCUUGAUUACAUAAAUAAAUCAUUCCCAAAAAACCAAAUCGCGUUUCCCAGUAGUAUCAAUCGGAAGCUUUAGAUACCAUGUAAAGAACUGAUGGUUUAGGUAAUUGGGUUUAAUGAAGUUUAAAUAGAAGAUUCAUUAAGAAGAAUUGUAAUUGAAUCAUAAUCACCAAGGCGAUCAAAACAGAAUAAAAAGAAUAAGAUAGUGAUAACUAAAUCUGGUAUCAUACAAAGAAUGAGAGAAGAGGAUGAAGAUCAGAAGGAGUUUAGAAGAAGUGUUAGCAGGAAAAAAAAAGUGUAUUACAAUGUCUCAUUACUUGUAUUUAAAUAAUACAUACUAAUCUAAGUACCCACUCAACACUAUUUUAUUACCCGAUUGCUAUUAAGGGAUUAAUUAUAUUUUUGUCCUUACAUAUUUUACCUUGACACCUGUGGGAUUCAUUCUGUGAUGUUAUAUUGGAUUGGGAGUGAUAUAAAAUGGUAUUUGUGAUACCAACAUGUGAGAAGUUCCUUAUGGUUUCGAAACCACAACCAAUAUUGGUGUAACACAGGAUCGGAGAUGGGAAGCGCUUG
This 1610-nucleotide long non-coding RNA is filed under the name Zostera marina. RNAcentral's name for it is "long non-coding RNA (ZMAR_LNC003149)". Lineage: Eukaryota; Viridiplantae; Streptophyta; Magnoliopsida; Alismatales; Zosteraceae. The record is from RNAcentral.